Molecule: ribosomal RNA, 222 nt
Filed under: uncultured bacterium
Lineage: Bacteria
Description: partial 16S ribosomal RNA
Rfam family: Bacterial small subunit ribosomal RNA
Source: RNAcentral
CGACGUAAAGAACUUGCCUCACAGAUAGGGACAACAUUUGGAAACGAAUGCUAAUACCUGAUAUUAUGAUUUUAGGGCAUCCUAGGAUUAUGAAAGCUAUAUGCGCUGUGAGAGAGCUUUGCGUCCCAUUAGCUAGUUGGAGAGGUAACGGCUCACCAAGGCGAUGAUGGGUAGCCGGCCUGAGAGGGUGAUCGGCCACGAGGGGACUGAGACACGGCCCUU